UACGAAGGGGGCUAGCGUUGCUCGGAUUUACUGGGCGUAAAGCGCGUGUAGGCGGCUUGGCAAGUCGGAUGUGAAAGCCCACGGCUCAACCGUGGAAGCGCAUCCGAAACUGCUUCGCUCGAGUCUCGGAGAGGAAGGUGGAAUGCUUGGUGUAGAGGUGAAAUUCGUAGAUAUCAAGCAGAACACCUGCGGCGAAGGCGGCCUUCUGGACGAUGACUGACGCUGAGACGCGAAAGCGUGGGGAGCAAACAGG
Molecule: ribosomal RNA, 253 nt
Filed under: uncultured bacterium
Lineage: Bacteria
Description: partial 16S ribosomal RNA
Rfam family: Bacterial small subunit ribosomal RNA
Source: RNAcentral